UACAGCUCAAUACAAUAUUCGUAUGAAAAUAAAGAAAGAAGUGUCAUAUUAUAGUGAAUUUUGAACUUUAAAAAUUGUGAUAAAUAUAAUGUUAUCAUUUAAUCAUCAUUUACAGAAAGCCCUCCAAUAUCAUUGCUAGAUACUGUAGCAGUGCUAUUUGUGGAACAUACUGUAUGACACAAUUCUGUUUCUCCAUUAUUCGAAAGACUUUUUGGUAUCCAUAAUGAUGAUGAAUUCAUUGCCUCUCCUCUAAUAAGACGUAAGUACGAAUGAUGAGUUUCUAAAAUUACUGAAUGAGCAAACUCUGCUGAUUGAGGCUCUCCAAAAUGUCCAUACAUAUUAACCUUUGCAACAUCUUUAUUCUCAACUGCUUUAUAAAGCCCAAACCAUCUCCUAAUUCUAUCUAUAGUACCAGGGAAAUAUUUCUCAACAUCAGUAAUAUCAUUUAGCUGUGAUGCAUGUGGGUCACAAACACGAAUACAUACAACUUUCCAAUCCAAUUCAUCAUCAUCAAUUAAAGCAAGGCAACCCAAAAUUUUUACCUGUAUAAUUGUUCCACGUGGAAGAGGUCCAACUCCAAUUUCAACAGCGUCCAGUGGAUCGUUAUCACCAUGACUAAAAUCAACAUUCUCAUCUCCCUUCUUAUUUGGAUCUUCCCAUGUUUGUGGAAAAGCACCAUAGUUCCAAGGAAUUGGACCUGGAUAGGUUCUAAGUCUUUCCAGCUUUCGAUCCUGAUAUAAUGGUGUAUAUUCCUCUUUUGUAUUUAUCUCAAAUUUUUUAUUUGUUAAUUUUGGAAUCUCAAUUAUCAUAUUAUAUAAAAGAGGUGUUUCUGAAAACCAUAAUGGUACAUCAUGCCAUGGAGAAAUCUUAUAGCCAUCUUCAUUCUUAUAAAAUAAUCUAUAUUCAAUUGAAUCUUUUGUUCCAACCUCUUCUCUUGUUACAAAAACUGUCCCAAGAGUACGAAUUGUUGGUUUAGAAUGACUUUCUUCUAAUUCUUUAGAUAAGGCUUUCCAUGCUUCUUCUACAUCUACUAUUGCAGAAGCCUCAAUUGGUGGAGCUAAAGAACUUUGAGUGCGUAAUAAACUAUAUUCUGGAUAUUCCUCACUUGAUGAAGAUGCUUCAUCAUAAGUAAUACUAUUCACAUCACUACUGAAGCUCAAGCUUUUUGUCCUAUCCUCACAUUCUCCAUAAGUACUUUUUUCUAUAAUAUCCUCUUUCGAGGCAAAACCCACUCUGUAUUCAGUACUCAUUCUUACUUGAAGAUUUGUACUUUUCUUAAAAAAUUUCAAUUAUAUUUCUGAUCUAGU
Molecule: non-coding RNA, 1307 nt
Filed under: Cryptosporidium parvum
Lineage: Eukaryota; Apicomplexa; Conoidasida; Eucoccidiorida; Cryptosporidiidae
Source: RNAcentral